This 301-nucleotide ribosomal RNA is filed under the name uncultured bacterium. RNAcentral's name for it is "partial 16S ribosomal RNA". It matches the Rfam family "Bacterial small subunit ribosomal RNA", at positions 509 to 807 of the family's 1533-position model. The record is from RNAcentral.
CAGCCGCCGCGGGAAUACGAAGGGUGCAAGCGUUACUCGGAAUUACUGGGCGUAAAGCGUGCGUAGGUGGUUGUUUAAGUCUGUUGUGAAAGCCCUGGGCUCAACCUGGGAAUUGCAGUGGAUACUGGGCAACUAGAGUGUGGUAGAGGGUAGUGGAAUUCCCGGUGUAGCAGUGAAAUGCGUAGAGAUCGGGAGGAACAUCCAUGGCGAAGGCAGCUACCUGGACCAACACUGACACUGAGGCACGAAAGCGUGGGGAGCAAACAGGAUUAGAUACCCGAGUAGUCCCUGUCUCUUAUAC